Molecule: non-coding RNA, 1763 nt
Organism: Oryctolagus cuniculus (rabbit)
Lineage: Eukaryota; Metazoa; Chordata; Mammalia; Lagomorpha; Leporidae
Source: RefSeq, a predicted model, not a curated record
UGGGGGCCGGGUACAGGUAAGAGGUCAAGGGCCCCCAAGCACCCCGAGGCCCAGAAGAUGCAUUCAUGCAGGCUGGGGCAACUGGGACAGAGCACAAGCCAGGUCGUCUCCCCUGGAAACUCCAGCCUUGGAAGGAGGGUGGAGAAGAGGAAGAGAUCUUCCAUCCACUGGUUCACUUUUCAAAUGACUGCUACAGCUUGGGCUGGGCCAGGUAUUCCAUCUGGGCCUCCUAUGUGGAUGGUAGGGCCCCCAGGCACUUGGGUCAUCGUCCCCUGCUUUCCCAGGUGCACACACAGGAAGCUGGAUUGGAAGUGGAGCAGCCGGACUCAAACUGACACUCCAGUAUGGGAUGCCAGUAUUGCAGACCUUCAGGGAUGCUCCUGCUCAGCGUCUUCCUGUGGAGCCCCUCUGAUGCCCGUCACGUCCCAGCUCCUCCUACAGCACGCUGCGUGGGACACACUCUGACUACGUGGACUGAACCCCAUCAGGACCAGGGCUGACGUCUGCUGUUGUAUCACCAGCAUUGGUCGGGGAAUAGAUGGAGGACCCACGUGGACACAGCAGAUGGGAACACAAGAGGAGGUGAGACGUUGACAGCUCUCGGCCCCCUUGGAACCUGGCCCACCUCUUACCAAGACCCUCACGGUGAGGUCGGAAGGGCUGCACCACCUGCCCCUUGGCUGCUUCUCCAGUGCGGUAAUCUGUAGUUUGGGAUACUCAAAGUGUGGGCUGAGGGACAUAGGCAGUGGUUUGAAGAGAGCCUACCUACCCACGCUCCCACAGACGCCCCCAGUAGCUGCUGCUGAACGAAGUGCUUGGCUGGAGUCCCUGUACCCAGCCCCCUUCUUGGGAACUGGCUGACCCAGGAGCAAGAUGAGGUGCAGGGGGAGAGCUGCACGGGCCCUUCCUUCACUCAGACCCUGCUGUGUCCUUGCUGUCUGCUGGGCUGGAAGUGGGUAUGGCACAACCUUGUGCCCGGGAAUAUUUGUGGUGAGGAGAGUCAGCCACAGCAGCAGGGGGCGCUAUAGCCAUGGCCAGCUGGGGCUUGACGGAGCCCUUGGCAGUCAGGGCCUGAGGGGAGGGAGAGGACUGCUUAGUUAUGAGAGCCCGGGCCCCUGGGGCUUCCAGGAACAGGAGGGGUGGUCAGGGGGCAGCUUGAGCAGACCUCCUUGGCUGUGGGAUAGUGGGAUGGUUCUGUGGUACUAAAGUGAGAGGAAGUUCACGGCCAAGCUUGUUAACGAGAGGACAUGAGCAACCUUAAAACGAUACUGGGAAGCAGAAACUGAGCCGGGAAUACACCGGGGACAGGAUAUACUCCCUAGGGGGUGGCGGUGGGCAGGAUCUGGGAAGCCAUGUCCUGGGAAGAAAGCACAUAGAUGUGUGAAAAACGGAAAAAACGAGUGGCUGGGGACUUCGCUGGUCGCUGACCACAAGCUACACCCAGCCUGCCUGCUGGUUGCACGCUCCUCCCUCUGGCCCGGCCAUGCCCACAGGCACUGACAGCACUGCUGUUCUUGCCAACAAAUUCCCGUCGCUGCUGUGCACUGAGAAACUAAAAGAGCGGGUUUUACGAAAAAAGAAAACAGAGGCUUGGCAUCGGCAAGCAAGGGCCUCCUCGCUGCUUCUGUCUGUCCUCGAAUGGAGGAGGCGGCUGGCACCCCCGUCUGUGGCCUCCUGGACCCCUGCCCCUCACCCCUGGGCUGGAACUGCAUCCAGCCGUGGGCCUGUUCUCCACUGCAAAUUAAAAUCCUGGUGCAAACUUG